RNAcentral lists this ribosomal RNA (944 nucleotides) under Bacillus subtilis. Its description in RNAcentral is "bacterial SSU rRNA". It matches the Rfam family "Bacterial small subunit ribosomal RNA", at positions 114 to 1034 of the family's 1533-position model. Lineage: Bacteria; Bacillati; Bacillota; Bacilli; Caryophanales; Bacillaceae. The record is from RNAcentral.
CACGUGGGGUAACCUGGCCUGUAAGACUGGGGAUAACUCCGGGAAACCGGGGCUAAUACCGGAUGGUUGUUUGAACCGCAUGGUUCAAACAUAAAAGGUGGCUUCGGCUACCACUUACAGAUGGACCCGCGGCGCAUUAGCUAGUUGGUGAGGUAACGGCUCACCAAGGCAACGAUGCGUAGCCGACCUGAGAGGGUGAUCGGCCACACUGGGACUGAGACACGGCCCAGACUCCUACGGGAGGCAGCAGUAGGGAAUCUUCCGCAAUGGACGAAAGUCUGACGGAGCAACGCCGCGUGAGUGAUGAAGGUUUUCGGAUCGUAAAGCUCUGUUGUUAGGGAAGAACAAGUACCGUUCGAAUAGGGCGGUACCUUGACGGUACCUAACCAGAAAGCCACGGCUAACUACGUGCCAGCAGCCGCGGUAAUACGUAGGUGGCAAGCGUUGUCCGGAAUUAUUGGGCGUAAAGGGCUCGCAGGCGGUUUCUUAAGUCUGAUGUGAAAGCCCCCGGCUCAACCGGGGAGGGUCAUUGGAAACUGGGGAACUUGAGUGCAGAAGAGGAGAGUGGAAUUCCACGUGUAGCGGUGAAAUGCGUAGAGAUGUGGAGGAACACCAGUGGCGAAGGCGACUCUCUGGUCUGUAACUGACGCUGAGGAGCGAAAGCGUGGGGAGCGAACAGGAUUAGAUACCCUGGUAGUCCACGCCGUAAACGAUGAGUGCUAAGUGUUAGGGGGUUUCCGCCCCUUAGUGCUGCAGCUAACGCAUUAAGCACUCCGCCUGGGGAGUACGGUCGCAAGACUGAAACUCUAAGGAAUUGACGGGGGCCCGCACAAUCAGUGGAGCAUGUGGUUUAAUUCUAAUCAACGCGAAGAACCGUACCAGGUCUUGACGUGCUCUGCCUAUCCCAAACAUAGGAAUUCCCCUUCCCGUGCGAGGAAAAGUUA